GGGAAACGCCCGGUUACAUUCCGAACCCGGAAGCUAAGCUGCGUAGCGCCGAUGGUACUGCAAGGGGGACCUUGUGGGAGAGUAGGACGCCGCCGAAC
RNAcentral lists this ribosomal RNA (98 nucleotides) under Streptomyces evansiae. The record is from RNAcentral. Lineage: Bacteria; Bacillati; Actinomycetota; Actinomycetes; Kitasatosporales; Streptomycetaceae.